GACAGAGGUGCCGAGCGUUAGGCGGAAUCACUGGGCUUAAAGCGUGUGUAGGCGGAUGGGUAAGUACCUUGUGAAAUCCCACGGCUCAACCGUGGAACUGCUCGGUAUACUGCUCGUCUUGAGCCAACUAGGGGCGACCGGAACAAACGGUGGAGCGGUGAAAUGCGUAGAUAUCGUUUGGAACGUCGAUGGUGAAAACAGGUCGCUGGGGUUGUGCUGACGCUGAGACACGAAAGCCGGGGGAGCGAACGGG
RNAcentral lists this ribosomal RNA (253 nucleotides) under uncultured bacterium. RNAcentral describes it as "partial 16S ribosomal RNA". It matches the Rfam family "Bacterial small subunit ribosomal RNA", at positions 524 to 776 of the family's 1533-position model. The record is from RNAcentral.